UCUCAAGAGUUUCAUUACAAUCUGCAUCUUAACGUGUAUACUGAAUGAGUAAAAUAGUGACUUUUGAUAAAGAUGCAUCUGCUGCUGCGAUUGUGUCUGGUAUGUUCGUUGAUUUUGGUCUGUUUUGCACAAAAACCGGGAAAAUGUCCAACUGUCGGCAUUAGUCCUGCCACCUGUGCAUGGGAGUGCAAGUCCGAUAAUGAAUGUCCCUAUCGUGAGAUAUGCUGCCCCACUUACAACUGUAGGGGCGUCUGUGUGGCACCAACACCCAUCUCCAGGUAAUGUGGAAGAGGAAGACAUACACUUAGUACAAUGAAGACCACGGGGCUAAACAAGGGCGUAUUUAGAAAGUGUGUGUUUAAAAGGUGUUACAUAUGCAUGAAUAAAAGGAAUGCUUUAUUGAA
Dreissena polymorpha is the source of this 404-nucleotide long non-coding RNA. RefSeq lists it as uncharacterized. The record is from RefSeq and is a predicted model, not a curated record. Lineage: Eukaryota; Metazoa; Mollusca; Bivalvia; Myida; Dreissenidae. The transcript is spliced from 4 exons.